UAACCUAACCCUUCGAAAGUUCAGUCUCCUGAUCUCCUCUCCUCUCUGUUCUCUCUGCUCUCUCAUCUCUCCUCUCCGAGUCUCCUCUCAACUCUUAAGCUCUCAAGCGGUCAAGCCUCAGCCUUUGACCAGUCGCUACUACCAUAGCUCUGCCUCUCGCCUCUCCCCUCCUCUCAAGCUCUCCUCUCUCAUGUCUCCUCUCCUCUCAGCUCUCAACUGUCAAUCUCACAAUCGCAGUCCAGAGACUCCAGACUCACAGGUCGCAGACUCUCAGCCGCAAUCCAUAGCCUAUCCAGCCUCUCAAAGUCUAGCCUCUCACCGUCUCACACACUCACAAACAAGGACAGAUUAGGUUUGCUUUCGUCUUCUUUUCAUUAUGUUCUAGGUUUGGGUUUUUUAGUUUUUUAGUUUUAGUUUUUAUAGUUUUCUGCGAUUUCAAAUUAGCAAAUGUUUAUUUUUCAUUAACAUAGCUUGUUUAUUAUUACUUUUCAUUAACAGGGGAAUUAUCAAAUGUUUUUUUUUUUCAAGGCUUUUGGAAAUAUAUUAACAGAGGAAUUAUAUUUAGCUGACACUUGUUUAUUCCACUUCUUUUGUUUUUUUAACAAAAUCUUGUGUCAAAACUCAUAUAUGGUUUAGGCAUUUAGCUCUUCUGCAAGUGCAAGCUAAAUAGUUGUAUCAUGAUGAAUUAUUUUGACACAUGUGCACCAGCCACACUUAAAGUUGAAUGGCAGGUUGACAGUACUUGAAUUAAUUCAUUUUGUUUCUUAAAAUAUAUCAUUAGAAUACAAGAAAAUAAUUGUAUUAUGAUGAAUUAUUUAUGAAAUGUGUUUUUUUUUUUCCUUUUAUGAUUUGUUGAGGUAUGCAGCAAUUAGCAAAGUUGAAAACUGUUGAGUGUUGACACCAUCAAGCUUUAUAUACAAAACCCAUUUAAAGCCACUUCCCAAUCUGAAUGUCUACAAAAAGAAUAAAUUAAUGAAUACUGAUAAAUUAAAAAAAGAAUGAAUAAAUGAAUGAAAGAAGAAUUUUUUCUACAAAUACUUAUGGUGUUGACUCCAAACUUAAUAAGGUGCCAACUCCUAGAGAAACCUAGCGGUUUCGACUCCAUUAGAAACCUAGUGCAUCCUCUAAUAUUGCCCUACUCUUUUCUUUUCUUAAUCUUAAGUCUUCACUCCCUUUCUUAAAUAUUAAACAACAUAGUCCAAACCUGUUCAACUUAUUAAUUUAAACAAAAUUGAUCACAAGGUAUCUUGUUGUGUAGGAACACCAUCAUCCCCUAUCCAUGAUCACAAUGUUUCAUCAACAAAUGUUCCUUCAACCUCAAUAGGACCCUCACCAUCUCAUUCUAUGUCUGGUCCUUCCCCUAUAAUCAUGGUUGACUUUGCUGAUGACUCAUCUCCAAAUGAGACAAGUCAAACAACAAAUAAUGCAAGCAAUCCCUUUGACACUCCUUCUACCACAGAUGGUACUUAGAUUGAAUCUCAGAACCCUAUUGAAGAAGACGAUCCAAUACAAAAAUCAAAAAGACAAAAAACGUUAGAUGUAUGGAAGGAACUCAAAGAGGUUGAAGUUGUUGAUGGAACAAAGAAGGCGUAGUGUGUCCACUGUAAGAGUAAAUUAUCUAUACAAUCUACUGGGGCAACAAGUCACAUGGCCCGACAUUUAAAAACAUGUAUAUCAAGAAAAGAGGUUCAAAAAGUUGAAAAGCAACGGAAGCAACAAAUGACCUUGAAUUUCCAACCAAUGGAUUCCAAUGUUGAUGUAGACAUUGUAGGCCCUCCUCUUUUGGAUACUUCUAUUGCUGCAAAGUAUGACCAUUCCAAAAUGAGGGAAGCAGUUGCUCAUUGGGUGCUUAUGCAUGAGCAUCCAUUUACUGUAGUGGAAGAGAACGAUUUUAAUUUCAUGAUGAAGAUGUUUAAUCCUACUUUUGAGAAGACCUCUCGUAAGACAAUAAAGAAUGAUUAUGUAGCUGUGUAUGAUGAUCAAAAGAAGAAAUUGAAAAAUCUUUUAAAGGGUAUUUCAAAAAUUAGCAUCACCACUGACCUUUGGAAGUCAUAAAACCAAAGGAGAGUAUAUGGUGAUAACUGGUCACUUUGUAGAUGCUAAUUGGAGGUUACAGAAGCGUGUUCUCAAUUUUGUCCAUGUUUCUCCACCUUGUCAUGGGGUUGAUAUUGCAGAUGACAUUUAUAAAUGUUUAAAAGAGUGGGGACUCAAGAAUAAGGUGUUUAUAGUUUUUGUGGAUAAUGCAUCAUAUAAUGAUUCUUGUUUGAGGUUUUUGAGAGAGAUCUUUUCUAGGAAUAGGAGGUUGCUUUGUGUUGGAAAAUUGUUUUAUGUUCGAUGUUGUGCACGUAUUCUGAAUUUGUUGGUUUAAGAUGGUCUUUGUGAAAUUGGUCACAUCAUAGAAAAUGUUCGUGAAAGUGUCAAAUACAUUAACCAAUCUGAGGCUAGGAAACAAACAUUUUCUGAAAUUGUACAACAAUUAUGACUUGGUACAAAGAAGUUCGUUACUGAUUGUCCUAUCCGUUAGAAUUCAACAUUUGAGAUGCUGUCAUGUGCUUUGAAAUUCAAAGAUGUGUUUCCAAGAUUUCAAGAAAGGGAACCAAAUUAUGACUAUUUGCCAACUCUUGAAGAAUGGUAAAAGGUGGAAAAAGUAUGCGAGGUACUUGAAGUUUUCAAUGUAGUCACGAACAUUAUUUUGGUAGUGAGUAUCCUAUUUCUAAUUUGUACCUCAGUGAGAUAUAUAGGGUGAAAGAAAUUUUAAACUUGAAGGCAAUGGAUAAAAAUGAUUUCAUUAGAAGGAUGGUUGGAAAGAUGAAGGAGAAGUUUGAUAAGUAUUGGGGUGAAACUAUUCAGAAACUGGUUGAGAUGUGUUUUCCAGAAAUCUAUUCAGAAACUGAAACUAGAAAUAACAUUGAGCAAGUUCGAGUUGCUUUGUACCAACUUUAUAUGAGUAUGUAGCUGCUUAUAAUGCUAGUAGUGAGCAAUCAUCCACUCAAGGGAAUGGUAGCAAUAGAUCUUCAAAUUCUAGUUCCAAUUCUCAGUUAUCAACAAGCUUAGGAUGGUCAAAGUUGAUGAAUUAUGUGAAGAGAGUUGAGACCAUUACAUCACCAAAAUUAGAGUUGGAUAUGUAUCUUGAGGAAGGUGUAUAUAUUUGUGAGGAUGAAAGGUCACAUUAUGAGUUUAAUGCUUUGGAAUGGUGGAAGGCUAAUAAUUUGAAUAAUUGGGUGUUGUCGAAGAUGGCGGCUGAGAUUCUUGCCAUUUUAAUAUCAACAGUAGCUUCAGAAUCUACAUUUAGUGUUGGUGGUAGGGUAAUUGAUCCCUAUCGUGCAUCCUUAGCUCUAGAAACCGUUCAAGCUCUGAUUUGUGGAGGGGAUUGGAUUUCUAUGUUUCAUGGGGUGAAGAAAAAACAAAAGGUGGACAAAAAGCCAAUUGAGAUACUUCUACCCAUUUCUUAAUGAUAUUGGGACCCCUCUAGAAGAGAGGGAGAGAGAGAGAAAGAGGGUGUUGCCUAUGGAGGGGACCCUUCAAAUUUGCGUGAACCACCAUUUCAACAAGAUGACAAAGAUUGUGAACCAGUUAUCUACAUACCAAGAAGAGCUAAAAGAAAUGAAGGGCCUGUCCAGAGAAGAAUACAUUGGAUAAUCGAGAAGGAAAAGUAGUGGGUUUUCCAGGGGAGUUUCAAAAUACCGUGGGUUUGCAAGGUAUUUAUGGAAUUAAAGGAAUAACAACUCUCUCUCUCUCUCUAGAUCUAUAUUUAUCUAUCUAUCUACGUAUCUACAUUUCUUUUCUAUCCCACCAACUCCAACUAUUUAGAAAUCUCCUCUAAUGUGGAAAGUUCCUACUGUAAAGUUCUAACUUCUCAUCAAAUUAACAGUGUACUUCACAAGGACUAUGGUACCUACUAUACAUUCAAAACAUAGUACAUUUGGCAAGGAACAUUUACUAACAGCUUCACAUGUUAGGUUUUGUUCUUUUUUAUGUUUGUCAAUUAAAUUGAUUUGGAACAGGAGAAUUAUUCAACCAAACAGCAAGGCCAAAGUACCCCCCCAACCAUGUAGGAUUCUGUACUACUUCUUUAUGGGAUUCUGUACUCUUGGCAACUGAUGUUCACUUUGCAGACAUCACCAUAAUGGAAGAUAGGAAGCUCAAAUUGUCCCAGUUGUAACAAAUACCUUUACCUUGGAACAUUUGCUAAAGGAUUUUGAGUUUAUCAAAGUUUUCCACCUAGAACCUAUGCCAUUUGACAUGGAGCGUGAUCUUCUCACCGUAACAUACAAGAAGAAGAGGCCUCAAUUACUCAAGUACUACCAGGUUAGUUUCUUGCCCCUUUCUUGGAAUUCCAAAACGUUCCCCUAAUUCUAAAUUGAUGGGAGAUCUGCCUAGAGUUUUAAUUUCCAUCAUGGCCGAAAAUUCACAAUAGUUCGGCGCAAGGACAGAUGGCACCAUUAGACGUGUUAAUGAGGUAAGUCAUGCUAAUUUAGAAAAUUAGAUUUCAGAUUUAACUGCUUUGGUUAAGCAACUGGCUGUAGGACAAUUGCAAACAGCUAAAGUGUGGCAUCUAUUCGAUCCCUGGUCAUCCUAUGGACAUGUGUCCAUCACUACAGUAGGAUUGAUGCAACAAGUGCCGUAGGAGGAUUCCCAGGUCAGCCUCAACACAAUUAUGACCCCUACUCCAAUUAUUACAAUCCGGGGUGGAGGGAUCAUCCAAAUCUAAGUUACGAGAACCAAGGAGGACGGUAGAAUUAUCAGCCCCAAUUUUCAGCACCUAUCACAGUGCAAGGCCAACCCUCAAAUUCAGGUAUGUCAUUAGAUGAAAUAGUUAAGGCUCUAGCUACUAACACUCAGCAAUUUCAGCAGGAAACAAGAGCUAGUAUUUAGAAUUUGGGGAACCAAAUCAGUCAACUUGCCACUUCUAUUAGUAAGAUGGAGGCGUAGAUCUCUUGGAAACUACCAUCACAAACGGUAGUCAACCCAAAGGAGAAUGCAAGUGCAGUAGUGUUGAGAAACGAAAAGGAGUUGCAGCCCCAAUCGAGCUCACCAUCGAAUGCAGCUAAGGGAGACAAGGAAGAUGAGAGACACGGGUCAAACGAAUGCCCCAUUGAGGUAAUAUCCAACCCCCCUCUCCCUAAGGUUACUAAUGCUAUUAUACCACCUUUUCCUAGUAGGUUGGAGAAGUCCAAGAAAGAGGAAUAUGAGCAAGAGGUGCUAGAAACUUUCAAGAAGGUAAGAGUUGGAGAGAACGUUUCAGCCGUGAUCAAGAGGACCUUACCAGAAAAACAUGCUGAUCCAGGAAGUUUUUGAAGAAGAUAUGAAUGAGGAGCUCGAACUGAGUGCACAAUUGGAUACGAAGGCCCCUAUUCCAGAUUUGAACCCACCCAUGAUGGAUGAAAGGGGAGAACAUCGAAAACUGCAUCUACGAGAAUUAGAGGAUCUGAUUCAGGAUUUUUAAAAAUAGGGAAGUUUGUUUUUCUUUUUUCUUUUUUGUUUUUACAUUUAUAGUUUAGUUUUUCUAUCAUUUCUUUGCAUUUAACCUCACAUU
Nelumbo nucifera (sacred lotus) is the source of this 5536-nucleotide long non-coding RNA. RefSeq lists it as uncharacterized. NCBI's taxonomy places the organism in Eukaryota, Viridiplantae, Streptophyta, Magnoliopsida, Proteales, Nelumbonaceae. The record is from RefSeq and is a predicted model, not a curated record.